AUAUGGCAAAUUUGGGCCACAGACCCUACACAACAAAACAAAGUUUAGAUCUACAAACGUACAAAGAAAGAAAAGAAAAACAGAAAGAGAGAAAGAACAACAACAACAAAGAAUAUGAUACUCGCGGUCGUGUUUGCCAACUCCGUCGGCAACAUCCUAGUUGAACGAUUUAAUGGAGUUCCUGCUGAAGAACGGCUGCAUUGGAGAUCUUUCUUAGUUAAACUGGGAGCAGAUAAUCUUAAAGGUGUUAAAAAUGAAGAGCUCCUUGUUGCUUGCCACAAAUCAGUUUAUAUUGUCUACACAAUACUUGGGGAUGUCAGCAUCUAUGUUGUGGGCAAGGAUGAGUAUGAUGAACUUGCUUUGUCAGAAGUGAUCUUUGUGAUAACCUCAGCUGUUAAGGAUGUAUGUGGGAAGCCUCCAACUGAGCGCCUUUUCCUGGAUAAGUACGGAAGAAUUUGCUUGUGUUUGGAUGAAAUUGUUUGGAAGUUGGAUGACAACUAUACCUGACUACAUCCUGCUGUGUGGCUUUAGCCAUCUUCAUGUUUACAUGCUCUCCAUGUGCUAGGGAUAUUUGGAGAACACUGAAAAAGAUAGAAUCAGAAGACUCAUAAGGUUAAAACCUCCAGUAGAGUUCUGAACCAAACGUUUCUUGGUGUAUACAGUGUAUUGAAGACAGUGGUGGUCUGGGCUUGGACAAAUGAUUGUGUCACGUAACAGUACACUGAAAAUUUUCACCUACUAUGUUUUGUUGCGCCUUUUAUGUUGUUAUGAUUAGAUUUGAGAUUUUUUUAUUGUGUCCUUGUGGGAGGAGAGUUGGCUUGAUCAAUAUUUGCCUAGUGAUAGCCUAAUAGGUAAAUGUCAUAAAAUUCUUUACAGACUUACGUAAAUUGUUGAUAUUUUCAGUCUUGGUUUUAUGAAUUUGAAAUGCGACUGGUCAUAAGUAGCGGUGAAUUCUACCUUUUGUUGUACUAAAUGAUGGAAAAGUCUUUUGCAGAUUAUUUUUCAAUAUAUUCUUUCAAUUAGAAUC
RNA transcript from Quercus robur (English oak), 1027 nucleotides. RefSeq lists it as uncharacterized. Lineage: Eukaryota; Viridiplantae; Streptophyta; Magnoliopsida; Fagales; Fagaceae. The record is from RefSeq and is a predicted model, not a curated record. The transcript has 6 exons.